AGUUAUCGUUUAUUUGAUAAUACCCUGCUACUUGGAUAACCGUGGUAAUUCUAGAGCUAAUACAUGCCGAAAACCCCGACUCGCGGAGGGGUGUGUUUAUUAGAUAAAAAGCCAAUGCCCUCCGGGGCUCCCUGGUGAUUCAUGACAACCCAACGAAUCGCAUGGCCUUGAGCCGGCGAUGGUUCAUUCAAAUUUCUGCCCUAUCAACUUUCGAUGGUAAUGUAGUGGAUUACCAUGGUUUCAACGGGUAACGGGGGAUUAGGGUUCGAUUCCGGAGAGUGAGCCUGAGAAACGGCUCACACAUCCAAGGAAGGCAGCAGGCGCGCAAAUUACCCAAUCCCGACACGGGGAGGUAGUGACAAUAAAUACCGAUACAGGGCUCUUUUGGGUCUUGUAAUUGGAAUGAGUACAAUCUAAAUCCCUUAACGAGGAACAAUUGGAGGGCAAGUCUGGUGCCAGCAGCCGCGGUAAUUCCAGCUCCAAUAGCGUAUAUUAAAGUUGUUGCAGUUAAAAAGCUCGUAGUUGAACCUUGGGCCUGGCUGGCCGGUCCGCCUCACCGCGUGCACUGGUCCGGCCGGGCCUUUCCUUCUGGGGAUCCUCAUGCCUUUAACUAGGCGUGACGGGGAACCAGGACUUUUACUUUGAAAAAAUUAGAGUGUUCAAAGCAGGCCUUGGCUCGAAUACAUUAGCAUGGAAUAAUGGAAUAGGACGUGCGUCCCUAUUUUGUUGGUUUCUAGGGACGCCGUAAUGAUUAAUAGGGAUGGUCGGGGCCAUCAGUAUUCAAUUGUCAGAGGUGAAAUUCUUGGAUUUAUUGAAGACUAACUACUGCGAAAGCAUUUGGCAAGGAUGUUUUCAUUAAUCAGUGAACGAAAGUUAGGGGAUCGAAGACGAUCAGAUACCGUCGUAGUCUUAACCGUAAACCAUGCCGACUAGGGAUCGGGCGGUGUUAUUAUU
RNAcentral lists this ribosomal RNA (954 nucleotides) under Lembosia syzygii. Its description in RNAcentral is "SSU rRNA". It matches the Rfam family "Eukaryotic small subunit ribosomal RNA", at positions 108 to 1070 of the family's 1831-position model. Lineage: Eukaryota; Fungi; Ascomycota; Dothideomycetes; Asterinales; Asterinaceae. The record is from RNAcentral.